GACGAACGCUGGCGGCGUGCUUAACACAUGCAAGUCGAACGGUGAAGCGCCUUCCUUUUUGGUGGGUGUGGAUGAGUGGCGAACGGGUGAGUAACACGUGAGUAACCUGCCCCCUUCUUCUGGAUAACCGCAUGAAAGUGUGGCUAAUACGGGAUAUUCUGGGUCUGUCGCAUGAUGGGUCUGGGAAAGAUAUUGUUUCGGUGGGGGAUGGGCUCGCGGCCUAUCAGCUUGUUGGUGGGGUGAUGGCCUACCAAGGCGGUGACGGGUAGCCGGCCUGAGAGGGUGGACGGUCACACUGGGACUGAGACACGGCCCAGACUCCUACGGGAGGCAGCAGUGGGGAAUAUUGCACAAGGGGCGCAAGCCUGAUGCAGCGACGCCGCGUGAGAGAUGGAGGCCGUCGGGUUGUGAACCUCUUUCGCCAGUGAAGCAGGCCUGCCUCGUUUGUGGGUGGGUUGACGGUAGCUGGAGAAGAAGCGCCGGCUAACUACGUG
This 494-nucleotide ribosomal RNA is filed under the name uncultured bacterium. RNAcentral's name for it is "partial 16S ribosomal RNA". It matches the Rfam family "Bacterial small subunit ribosomal RNA", at positions 28 to 507 of the family's 1533-position model. The record is from RNAcentral.